RNAcentral lists this RNase P RNA (378 nucleotides) under Candidatus Eiseniibacteriota bacterium. RNAcentral's name for it is "RNase P RNA component class A". It matches the Rfam family "Bacterial RNase P class A". Rfam says of the family: Ribonuclease P (RNase P) is a ubiquitous endoribonuclease, found in archaea, bacteria and eukarya as well as chloroplasts and mitochondria. Lineage: Bacteria; Candidatus Eiseniibacteriota. The record is from RNAcentral.
GGAGUCGGCGAGACGGUCGCGGGGCCGCGAGGCCCCGAGGAAAGUCCGAGCUCCACAGGGCAGGGUGCUGGGUAAUUCCCAGGGGGAGCGAUCCCAAGGAAAGUGCAACAGAGAGCAGACCGCCGUUCGGGCACGCGCGUGCGCGUCUCCGGACGGCAAGGGUGAAACGGUGAGGCAAGAGCUCACCAGCGCGGGCGGCGACGCCCGCGGCUCGGCAAACCCCACCCGGAGCAAGACCAAAUAUGGGAGGAUGAGGUGGCCCGCCUCGCUCGACUCCCGGGUAGGUCGCACGAGGCGCUCGGCGGCGGGCGUCCCAGAGAAAUGACCGUCGCGGGAUCUCGGUCCCGAACAGAACUCGGCUUAUCGCCGGCUCCGCUG